This 82-nucleotide transfer RNA is filed under the name Alligator mississippiensis (American alligator). It matches the Rfam family "tRNA". From Rfam's summary of the family: Transfer RNA (tRNA) molecules are approximately 80 nucleotides in length. Their secondary structure includes four short double-helical elements and three loops (D, anti-codon, and T loops). Further hydrogen bonds mediate the characteristic L-shaped molecular structure. tRNAs have two regions of fundamental functional importance: the anti-codon, which is responsible for specific mRNA codon recognition, and the 3' end, to which the tRNAs corresponding amino acid is attached (by aminoacyl-tRNA synthetases). tRNAs cope with the degeneracy of the genetic code in two manners: having more than one tRNA (with a specific anti-codon) for a particular amino acid; and 'wobble' base-pairing, i.e. permitting non-standard base-pairing at the 3rd anti-codon position. The record is from Rfam by way of RNAcentral. Lineage: Eukaryota; Metazoa; Chordata; Crocodylia; Alligatoridae.
GCUGUGAUGGCUGAGUGUUGAAGGCAUUGGACUUGAAAUCCUAUGGGGGCUCCCUGCGCAGUUUUGAAUCCAGCUCACAGUG